This is a long non-coding RNA of Nerophis ophidion (straightnose pipefish), 9316 nucleotides long. RefSeq lists it as uncharacterized. The transcript is spliced from 2 exons. The record is from RefSeq and is a predicted model, not a curated record. Lineage: Eukaryota; Metazoa; Chordata; Actinopteri; Syngnathiformes; Syngnathidae.
AGUCAACCAUUCAAAGCUCUCACUGAUGGAAGGCGGUUUUGGCUUAAAAUCUCACGAUAUAUGGCCCCAUUCAUUCAUUCCUUGACACGGAUCAACCGUCCUGUCCCCUUAGCAGAAAAACAGCCCCAAAUCAGGAUGUUUUCACCCCCAUGCUUCACAGUAGGUGUGGUGUUCUUGGGAUGCAGCUCAGAAUUAUUCUUCCUCCAAACACGACGAGUUGAGUUUAUACCAAAUAGUUCUAUUUUGGUUUUAUCUGACCACAUGACAUUCUCCCAAUCCUCUGCUGUAUCAUCCAUGUAUCCAUUUUGGUAUAAACUCAACUCGUCGUGGAAAGAAUGAAUGGGGCAAUGUAUCGUGAGAUUUUGGGCCAAAACCUCCUUCCAUCGGUGAGAGCUUUGAAUGGUUGACUAAAUACUUAUUUUCCACCAUAAUUUUCAAAUAAAUUCUAUAAAAUUCCUACAAUGUGAAUUUCUGGAUUUUUUUUUCACAUUCUGUCUCUCACAGUUGAAGUGUACCUAUGAUGAAAAUUACAGACCUCUGUCAUCAUUUUAAGUGGGAGAACUUGCACAAUCGGUGGCUGACUAAAUACUUUUUUGCCCCACUGUAUAUGUGAACCGGCCAAUAUUAACUGCUGCCCGAUCGAUUGGCACAUACCUAGUUAAGACUAGGGAUGUCCGAUAAUAUCGAACUGCCGAUAUUAUCGGCCGAUAAAUGCUUUAAAUUGUAAUAUCAGAAAUUAUCGGUAUUGGUUUCAAAAUGAUCGGAAUCUGUUUCAAAAAUUAAAAUGUAUUACUUUUUAAAACGCCAUUGUGUACACGGAUGUAGGGAGAAGUACAGAGCACCAAUAAACCUUAAAAGCACUUCCUUUGUGUGCCGGCCCAGUCACAUAAUAUCUACGGCUUUUCACACACACAAGUGAAUGCAAGUCAUACUAGCUCAACAGCCAUACAAGUCACACUGAGUGUGGCCGUAUAAACAAUUAAUUUACCACUGUUACAAAUAUGCGCCACACUGUGAACCCUCACCAACAAGAAUGACAAACACAUCCGCACCGUAACACAAUAUAAACACAACACAACAAAAACCCAGAACCACUUGCAGCAUUAACUCUUCCGGGACGCUACAAUAUACACCCCCUGCUACACCUUCCCCCACCUCAACCUCCUCAUGCUCUCUCAGGGAGCGCAUGUCCCAAAUUCCAAGCUGCUGUUUUGAGGCAUGUAAAAAAAAAAAAAAUGCACUUUGUGACUUCAAUAAUAAAUAUGGCAGUGCCAUGUUGGCAUUUAUUUCCAAUAACUAGAGUUGAUUUAUUUUGGAAAACCUUGUUACAUUGUUUAAUGCAUCCAGUGGGGCAUCACAACAAAAUUAGGCAUAAUCAUGUGUUAAUUCCAUGACUGUAUACAUCGGUAUCGGUUGAUAUCGGAAUUGGUAAUCAAGAUUUGGACAAUAUCGGAUAUCGGCAAAAAAGCCAUUAUCGGACAUCUCCAGUCUCAACCAUAAGCAUUUACGCAAUACAACAGGUUUUCUCACUUGGGAAGCGUUAUACAUGUCAUAUAUUUUAUGAUGAUAUCAGACAUGCUAAAAACCUAUGGUGCAGUAGUUAGUGACACUAUGUUGUGAUUCACAGGAUAUGGGUUUGAGUCCUGUUAAGAACCGUUUUAUUUAACACGUAUUAUAAUAAAAGUGUUUUGAAGGUCUAGUCUGUUACACAAAAGACUGUAUCCGUACCAGUUUGCCUACCGCAGCAACAGAGAGCACAGACAACGCGGUCUCCACAGACUGACACUCUGUACUCACACAUCUGGAUAACAACAUAGUUCAGUAUUCAAUACUGUCAUUCCUUUAAAACCAUUUACAAACCUUGGGCACCAUCAACCUUUGUCAAUGGACAAAGAAAUUUCUGAUCAAGAGACCACAUCAUGUUAGUUCAGGACAUACCUGUUCCUCUGCUUUCAUACUCAAAACAAGCAUACCACAGGGCUAUGUGCUUGGUCGCUUCCUCUAUUCCCUCUUCACCCACGUCUUUACACCUGUGCAUGUAUCCAACUCCAUUACAACAUUUGCAAAUGACACUUGGGGGGAUUGGUCUCAUCAGUAAUGCAAUUAGACAGCCUACAGGUUGGGGGUAGAACAUCUGGCUGCUUGGUGUGAGGAAUAGGAUAACUUGCUACUUAAAAUUCCCUCAAAAUUAUAGAACUCAUUGACUUCAGAAAGUUAAGAGGCACAUCAAAGUCCAAUCAAUGUAACUCAAUGGGUUGGCUGUAUAACAAGUCUUCAGAAUUAAAUUUUUGGUAUUCACAUAAUUGAGAACCUCUCCUGGUCCUUCAACCUGGUCAAGAGGGUUCAUCAGCGGUUCCCUUUUCCAGAAAUGACUAAGGAUGCACCUCAAGGAUACUCAAUUGAGAGCAAUUCAACCAUCUGUGUCAGUCUGUUAAGGGAACUACACUGUAGCAGACCAAGCGGUCUGGCGAAAAAAAUCAUAUAUCACUCUACUUACAGCCAUUGAGGAUGUUGAGAAGAAACAUUGCAUGCAUCAAACGCACAACAUCCUCAAGGAGACCUCAGACCCUGCCCACGGUCUGUUCACCCUCCUGGACUAAAUCUAGCAGGAACAGAUUUUCCCCAGAACUAUCACUGCAAUUUGUCUUUUAAUUGAUUUAAUGGCGAUUUGUGCAGAAAAUUAAAACCCCUCUAUUUUUACCUUUUUUACCUGGAAAUCUAUAUAUUUCAAAACAACUGUUGAUAUGGUAUGACGAAAGCUUGGACAUGGAAAGAAGGGAAUCAUGCCUAGUUCAGAAUUGUCACGUGAACUUGAGACAAUACAAGGAAAUCCUGCGGUGUCAGUCAGCAUACCUUACGCAGGCUGACACUACGACUACAUCAGUACAGUGUGCUGUCCUGCAGCAUCCGUGUGAGGAGGGAAUGCACUGAUAACAGAGGGGGGGAAAGAGACCAUUGUCAAUUAACAAUUGUAUAAUUGUGCACAUCUGAUAUUUUUUAAUUGAAUGCAUCGGUCUUCAUUUCCACACUGACCCGCUUUUAACGUUUUUCUCUUGCAUUUACUUUGCAUUUGAUACUGAAAUAUUUUUUGUUUCAAUGCACUUUUGACAAAUCAAAAAUAGACACUAAACAGUUAAGCCGCAAUUAAAAUGGAUUAAUAAAAAAAACCAAAUAGUCUUCUAAAUAAUAAAGAUGGUGUUUUUGUUGCACACACACCAAGACUGGUUCAUGACUGCAGCUGAAGAAGUAACUGGCACACAAAACAAGCAAUCAUCGCUGAGGGGUGCAGAUCAAAACACUGCAUGGAAAACAUAAACAAGUGCAGCUGAACAAACAAUACAUUGACUUGAAGUUAAAAUAUGUACCUCUACUUGCUUUGAAACCACCAAUUUGAAGGCAGUAACUUCUCCUGGGAAUGGUAGAAAUCAACACGGGUGAGACCAAGAUUAUCAUUACUACAGUUUAAUCCAUUUAUUCUGGAAAUGUACAAAAAAAAGUUUUACAGCAAUCAGACAAGUUCACAGGAUAUUUUUUAUCAGCAAUAUUGUAACAUCAGUUUAUAUUUUUCAUAUUCCAGAUGAUUAUCAUUAUAUUCAAAAAUGCAUAUAAAGUAAUUGUUAUAUCAAAACCUGCAAAUACUUCUUAUUGCAUAUGUAAGUACAUAAAUGAUCCUUUCGUGUUGUCUCUUCCUAUCAUUGUGAAGCAGAAUUCACCAAGCGUUGGCUUGUUCAUCCACUAAUAGGGAACUUAAGCUGUGUUUAAACCGUCGAUAGACAGGUUAGUUUUACCCUACUGAUGAAGCGUUGUUGCAAUUUCCAUGAUUUAUCUAGCACAAGUGCUUUCGGGCGUCAAAGCCAACAGGGUAAGUCAAAAUUUUAAAAAGAAAACUUCCUAUAUGGCUGAAUAGGGAUGUGUUCCAGGAACAAAUACAUAAAACAGCUUAAAAAUCAUUACAUUGAAUUAAAAUGAUUAACAAGAGUAUUUUGUUAGUGCUGCUGGGAAAAUAAGUGAUUUUUAAAGCAAUGAUUUAGAAACAAAUCGUGAUUUAGCAAGGUGUUUAGUCGUGUCCUCAUAAUCAAAUCUUUUGUUUGCUGUACCUAAAUCAGGAGGACAACCAAAUCCAAAAUCAGCCCAGCCUGACCUUCGUUGGGGGGGGGGGUCCCACAACACUGGAGCUUGGUGUCAUUAAAAGUGCGUUAAAACAAGGUGAAACUUUUCGUACCUGACACUUGUACCAGCCGGCUUGUGAGGCACUUACGCACGAUUAGGACUCAUUCAAAUGAGUGAGAGGAUCCUAACAAGUCCUGUAUGUGGACAAUGUUAUGUCUUGGCAUUGUUGCUGCUGGACAAAGGUUCUACCUCAGCAGUGAUGUUGCUGAGCUCAAACGGUUUGGACUGUGGGCCGGCGCCGUCUUGUUUCUUGGGCUGGCUUCUAAAGUGACGGAAGAUGACGACAGCGGCACUUACACAGUAGACGACAGUGAGCAGGGCGAAGUAAAUGAAGUACACCAGGAACUGGGGAAAAAAACAGAGCACUAAUCAGGAUAUAAUGUUCCGUUAAUUGACUUUAAAGUUGCUGUAUGUCGCAGAAAGGAACAGCAAUCCCGCAAUCUUGCUGGUCUACACCGCACUGAUUUAACUUAUAGUUGUGACGAAUAGGAAUUUUUAAAAUAGGUUUUCUUAAAGCACUAUUGGUAAUAUGGUAGCAGUUGUUGGUUUUAAAAAUAUAUAUAUAUUUUGAGCAAAUGACAUAUAGCAGCAUUAAGUAUUUCAUCAAACCCUCCAUCCAGUCACAGAAUACAUACUGACUAAUAAGUAGGGAUGGGCUGAUGGAUCAGGCCACACAUUAAUAUUGGUCUAUUUUUUUUUUUAAACUACACAAUCACCAUUGCCGAUAAACCGAUUAAUACAAUUUAGUGCCAAUCACAAAUGUCGAUCCCAUUUGGCAGAGACUAUUUAUUUUUAGUCGCCCAGCUGACAAGCGGGUAGCACCUAAUAAUGCAGGGGUAGGGAACCUAUGGCUCUAGAGCCAGAUGUGGCUCUUUUGAUGACUGCACCUGGCUCUCAGAUAAAUCUUAGCUGACAUUGCUUAACACGAUAAGUAAUGAAUAAUUCAGCUGGUAAUCACAGUGUCAAAAAUAACGUUACAAAAACAAACCAUUCUCAUGCAUUUUCAUCCAUCUAUCCGGUUUCUACCGCACCUGUUCAAGAAGUCGGAUUAAUGGUAAGAAAUAUUUUAUUUAUUUUUGGUUAGCCUCAGAAUAACAGUGUUAUUAAAAAGAAUAAGAGACGUAUUAUACUCUAAACAUGUUGAUCCUUCUUAAAAUGCACGCAUGUAGUUGUAUUCAGUGUUAAAAAAAAUAUAUAUAUAUACAUAUAUAUGGCUCUCACAGAAAUACUUUUAUAAAUAUUUGGCUUGUAUGGCUCUUUCAGCCAAAAAAGGUUCCCGACCCCUGUAAUAAUGUGUCGCCAUACACAGUGUGGAGACGCUCCUCUAAGCUAAUAAUCACCUCCAUUACAGCAAAUAACCUGCAUUUCUUAAUAUAGGUAUCAUUAACAAGUAUCACAUUAUCACUGGAGGAUGAUGCUGAACAUAUGAGAAUAAGAAACACAUUUUAAAAUUGUUCAACUGCAAAUAGCGCUCACCAUAAAUUUUUAAAUUUACAGUUAACACAUUGGUAUCGGUAUUCGCAUCAGCCGAUCUCACUCAUGGAUGGUUGGUAUCGGAACAUCCGUACUAAUAAGCAUUCACAGCUACAAAACCCAAAACCGGUGGAAUUGGCACGUUGUGUAAUUCCUAAAUAAAAACAGAAUACAAUGAUUUGCAAAUACUUUUCAACUUAUAUUCAAUUGAAUAGAAUGCAAAGACAAGAUAUUUAAAGUUCCAACUGAGAACUUAAUUUUUUUUUUGCAAAUAAUCAUUAACUUGGAAUUUAAUGGCAGCAACACAUUGCAAAAAAGUUGGCACAGGGGCAUUUUUACCACUGUGUUACAUGGCCUUUCCUUUUAACAGCACUCAGUAGACGUUUGGAACUGAGGAGACCAAUUUUUGAAGCUUUUCAGGUGGAAUUAUUUCUCAUUCUUGCUUUCAACAGUCUGGGGUCUUCGUUGUCAUAUUUUAGGUUUCAUAAUGUGCCACACAUUUUCAACGGGAGACAAGUCGAGACUACAGGCAGGCCAGUCUAGUACCCGCACUGUUUUACUAUGAAGCAAAGCUGUUGCAACACGUGGCUUGGCAUUGUCUUGCUGAAAUAACCAGGGGCGUCCAUGAAAGCAUUUCUUGGAUGGAAACAUAUGUUGCUUCAAAACCUAUAUGUACCUUUCAGCAUUAAUGGUGCCUUCACAGAUGUGUAAAUUACCCAUGUCUUGGGCACUAAUACACCCCCAUACCAUCACAGAUGCUGGCUUUUGAAAUUUGUGCCUAGAAGAAUCCGGAUGGUUCUUUUCCUCCUAGUUCCGGAAGACACAACGUCCACAGUUUCCAAAAACUAUUUGAAAUGGUGACUCGUCAGAUCACAGAACACUUUUCCACUUUGCAUUAGUCCAUCUUAGAGGAGCUCAGGCCCAGCGAAGCCGGCGGCGUUUCUGGGUGUUGUUGAUAAAUGGCUUUCGCUUUGCGUAGUAGAGUUUUAACUUGCACUUACAGAUGUGGCGACGAACUGUAGUUACUGACAGUGGUUUUCGGAAGUGUUCCUGAGCCCAUGUGGUGAUAUCCUUUACACACCUAUGUUGCUUUUUGAUGCAGUACCGCCUGAGGGAUCGAAGGUCAUCGGCAUUCAAUGGUAUUUUUCAGCCUUGCCUCUUACGUGCAGUAAUUUCUUCAGAUUCUCUGAACCAUUUGACGAUCUUAUGGACCGUAGAUGGUGAAAUCCCUAUGUUCCUUGCAAUAGCUCGUUGAGAAAUGCUCUAAAAAACAAAAUUACUCACGCAUUUGUUCACAAAGUGGUGAACCUCGCCCCAUCCUUGUUUGUGAAUGACUGAGCAUUUCAUGGAAGCUGCUUUUAUACCCAAUCAUAGCAACCACCUGUUCCCAAUUAGUCUGUUCACCUGUUGGAUGUUCCAAAUAAGUGUUUGAUGAACAUUCCUCAACUUUCUCAGUCCUUUUUGCCUUUUUUUAAACAUGUUGCAGGCAUUAAAUUCCAAAUGAGCUAAUAUUUGCAAAAAAUAACAAAGUUUUCCAGUUCGAACGUUAAGUAUAUGCAGUCUCUUGAAUUGAAUAUUGGUUGAAAAGAAUUUGCUAAUCAUUGUAUUCUGUUUUUAUUUACCAUUUACACAACAUGCCAACUUCACUGGUUUUGUAUGAAUAAUUUAGUCUCCAAUCAACCAAGAACCGUUUUACCUUUAGGCAGAUGGGCUGCCCACUCCUCCACUGUGAUGUCAAUUUGUAUAUCUUGUAAUGUAACGCAGUAUUAUCAUUUUAGGUUUUUACAAUUUAACAUAUCAAAAUUUGUCAAUAACAUACCGUAAAAAUAAGUCCCCACCUUUUUUUUUUUAAUAUUGCCUGUCCUCCACAAUCCUUACGUGAUACAAGAACACAAAUGUAUUUCCCUUUUCUGCACAUUCAAUGUUGUGAAAAACCUCUAGCACAAGGCGGCUAACAUUGCAGGUAAUGAGGAUUCACCUCCUCUGCCUAUAAAGUCCUUUAAAAACAUCUAAACAUCCAUCCAUUUUCUAUUGCUUAUUCUCUUUGGGGUCGCGGGUGGCGCUUGUGCCUAUCUCAGCAACAAUCGGGCGGAAGGCGGGGUGCACCCUGGACAAGUCGCCACCUCAUCGCAGGGCCAACACAGAUAGACAGACAACAUUCACACUCACAUUCACACACUAGGGCCAAUUUAGUGUUGCCAAUCAACCUAUCCCCAGGUGCAUGUCUUUGGAAGUGGGAGGAAGCCGGAGUACCCGGAGGGAACCCACGCAUUCCCGGGGAGGACAUGCAAACUCCACACAGAAAGAUCCCGAGCCCGGGAUUGAACCCUGACUACUCAGGAUCUUCGUAUUGUGAGGCGGACACACUAACCCCUUUGCCACCAUGAAGCCGUACAUCUAAACGAUGUUCUACUUAUGUCUAUGGAUGUUCUACUUUAAUCCAGGUCAUUGUAAUCUCAGGGCAUUUAAUUGAUCGCAACUGAAUUAUUUAGUUUGUCUAAGAAGACGUUUCGCCUCUCAUCCGAUUAGGCUUCAUCAUUCAUAUGCCGUAACCUGCAUACUAACCCAGCUGUAGCAAAGAGCUAACCCAGAGGAUCUACUUUUCUGGCAUAGUCACAAAGCACUAAUGCUCACAGCCUGUUAGGCUACUACCGAGUGGCAAACUAGCUACUUGAGCUGCUGCUUUGAGUUAAUAAAAGUUAUUGCUAGGUUAUAAAUCAGACCUUGCACGUGUAUCAUAGAAAGUUGCGUAUAGCUGUAUAGCUCGGUUGGUAGAGCGGCCGUGCCAGCAACUUGAGGGUUGCAGGUUCGAUCCCCUCUUCCGCCUUCCUAGUCACUGCUGUUGUGUCCUUGGGCAAGGCACUUAACCCACCCGCUCCCAGUGCCAAACACACUGGUUUAAAUGUAAAAAAAAAUAGAUAUUGGGUUUCACUAUAUAAAGCGCUUUGACUCACUAGAGAAAAGGCGCUAUAUAAAUAUAAUCCACUUCACAAAUAAGCGAAGAAAGUCCAUAAACUAUGCUAAAAAUCCAGACUGACUGAAGCAGUGAAUAUAGACGCUCAACUUAACCUCGACGACAUUACUAAGAAGACAUAGCAAGAUGCUUGUUUGCUCUCUGCAUUUUUGACUACAAGAUAAUGCUGAACUUACCAGCUCAAUUUAUACAAGUCUGCUGAAAGAUACAUUUAUCGCAUCAGUCAACAUCCCGGUUUUAUUUUUAUAGUUUGGUGAUUAAAUGUUUAGCAAUGGUACGAGAAUGGCUUAGUGUUUCACUAUCAUUUGGGAUCAUUUGCCCCAAAGUAGUUGUCAGUGCUGCCACGAUUAGUGAUGGCAAACACAGAAGACACUCCCACUCUUGUUGUUGACGGAACGAGCGUUUGUUGAUAUGCGCUCUGUGAAAUCAACGCGCCGAAGAAAUAAGUUCCGAUUAUGCGGCAAAAUGACUUACAUAUUAUAUUACAUGUUAUCAUGAAUGUGCCCGUUACGACAUGGUUACAGCUUGGAUAUACUGUACAAUGUGUCCCGGUUUUUGGACGUUUUUACAUGGCUUUGAUGAAAUUACUGGCAUGGUUAGUUGGUGUUUAUGUGUAUAUUUCAUUUAUUUAUUUAGUUUUUUCUCUGUUCUUGUUACCUUUUUGUAUUUAGGAUUAUGUAAUAAAAUAACACAAUAUAA